Molecule: ribosomal RNA, 482 nt
Filed under: uncultured bacterium
Lineage: Bacteria
Description: bacterial SSU rRNA
Rfam family: Bacterial small subunit ribosomal RNA
Source: RNAcentral
GAUAGAACGCUAGCGGGAGGCUUAACACAUGCAAGUCGAGGGGUAAAUGGCAGCAAUGCUAUGAGACCGGCGGACGGGUGCGUAACGCGUAUGCAACAUUACCUUGUGCGAGGGGAUAGCCCGUGGAAACGCGGUAUUAAUAUUCCAUAGAUCAGUAAUAUCGCAUGGUAUAACUGGUAAAGUUAAGGCGGCACAAGAUUGGCAUGCGUCUGAUUAGCUAGUUGGUAGGGUAACGGCCUACCAAGGCGACGAUCAGUAGGGGUUCUGAGAGGAUUAACCCCCACACUGGUACUGAGACACGGACCAGACUCCUACGGGAGGCAGCAGUGAGGAAUAUUGGUCAAUGGGCGCAAGCCUGAACCAGCCAUCCCGCGUGAAGGAAGAAGGCCCUACGGGUUGUAAACUUCUUUUCUGUUUGAAGAAUAAGCCCGUCGUGACGGGUGAUGCCGGUAGGACAGGAAUAAGCAUCGGCUAACUCCGUG